RNAcentral lists this small RNA (736 nucleotides) under Pyricularia oryzae. Its description in RNAcentral is "Magnaporthe oryzae sRNA M_BR32_EuGene_00128991". The record is from RNAcentral. Lineage: Eukaryota; Fungi; Ascomycota; Sordariomycetes; Magnaporthales; Pyriculariaceae.
AAAUGUUUUAAAUGCGAUAAAAUAAAAUAUAUUGCUAAAAAUUGCUUUAAAAAUUAAAAAAAUACCCCUAAUUUUAAAAACAAAACCGAAAAAUUACAAAAAUUUUAUACCACCAACCAUUAAUAAAUAUAAUUUAAUUAAUACCGCGCAAUAAAUUGGACCACCUGCUAUAAUAAUAAUUAUAUAAUAUAUAAUAAUUCCAAAAUUAACGCAAAUUAAUACCCACAAAAACCCCGAAACAUUCGAACCCUAAUAAUAAAAAACCAAAUAUUUAUAAGGAUAAAAUAAUUAAUAAAUUUAUACCGAUAAAAAACCCAAUUAUCCGAAUUUACGAAUUCGGACGUUUUGAAAAAAUCGGAUAAAGAAUUUUUGGAACAAAUCCACUAUAUUAAAACAACCAAUUAAUUUUUAAUAUAAAAAUUAAACGAAGAUUUAAAAAAAAAAUCCAGCGAAAAAAAAUUAUAUUUUCGAAUUAAUAUAACGUAAUAAAAAAAAACAAUUUUUAUAUAUACGAAAAAAAAUAUAUCGAUUUAUACCGAAACGACCAAUUAAUACAAUUUUCCAAAUUACUAUUUUAAAUAUAAAUCCGACAUUUUACGGAAUUAAUUAAUGCAAUUUUUGGAAAUUACCCGAUUUUGGAUAUUAAAUAUUUUUAAUACGCAAAAAUCUUUUGGGCAAAAUAUUUCCGAAACAAUUAUAAAUUUUAUUUAAAUAAAAAAAUAAUUUACAAUUUUUU